CUGGCGGCAGCUUGACCAUGCNAGUCGAGCGGAAACGAUGAUAGCUUGCUAUCAGGCGUCGAGCGGCGGACGGGUGAGUAAUACUUAGGAAUCUACCUAGUAGUGGGGGAUAGCUCGGGGAAACUCGAAUUAAUACCGCAUACGACCUACGGGAGAAAGGGGGCAACUUGUUGCUCUCGCUAUUAGAUGAGCCUAAGUCGGAUUAGCUAGAUGGUGGGGUAAAGGCCUACCAUGGCGACGAUCUGUAGCUGGUCUGAGAGGAUGAUCAGCCACACCGGGACUGAGACACGGCCCGGACUCCUACGGGAGGCAGCAGUGGGGAAUAUUGGACAAUGGGGGCAACCCUGAUCCAGCCAUGCCGCGUGUGUGAAGAAGGCCUUUUGGUUGUAAAGCACUUUAAGCAGUGAAGAAGACUCCGUGGUUAAUACCCACGGACGAUGACAUUAGCUGCAGAAUAAGCACCGGCUAACUCUGUGCCAGCAGCCGCGGUAAU
Molecule: ribosomal RNA, 493 nt
Filed under: uncultured bacterium
Lineage: Bacteria
Description: bacterial SSU rRNA
Rfam family: Bacterial small subunit ribosomal RNA
Source: RNAcentral